This 481-nucleotide ribosomal RNA is filed under the name uncultured bacterium. RNAcentral describes it as "partial 16S ribosomal RNA". It matches the Rfam family "Bacterial small subunit ribosomal RNA", at positions 28 to 507 of the family's 1533-position model. The record is from RNAcentral.
GAUGAACGCUGGCGGCGUGCUUAACACAUGCAAGUCGAACGAAGCACUUUAUUUGAUUUCCUUCGGGACUGAUUAUUUUGUGACUGAGUGGCGGACGGGUGAGUAACGCGUGGGUAACCUGCCUUGUACAGGGGGAUAACAGUUGGAAACGGCUGCUAAUACCGCAUAAGCGCCAGGCAUCCCAUGAUGCAGUGUGAAAAACUCCGGUGGGAUACGAUGGACCCGCGUUGGAUUGGCAAGUUGGUGUGGUAACGGCCCACCAAGGCGACGUUCGAUAGCCGACAAGAGAGAGUCGGCGGAGACUUUGGGGGUAGGAAGCGGUGGGGAAUCCUACGCGAGGCGGCAGUGGGUAAUAUAGCAAUAUGGGGGGAGUGCUGAAGGAGCUAGGCUGGGUGAGCGAAGAAGUAUUGCAGGAAGUAAAGCUCUAUCAGCAGGGAAGGUAAUGACGGUACCUAAAGAAGAAGCACCGGCUAAAUACGUG